This 425-nucleotide ribosomal RNA is filed under the name uncultured bacterium. RNAcentral's name for it is "bacterial SSU rRNA". It matches the Rfam family "Bacterial small subunit ribosomal RNA", at positions 354 to 796 of the family's 1533-position model. The record is from RNAcentral.
GUGGGGAAUAUUGGACAAUGGGCGAAAGCCUGAUCCAGCCAUGCCGCGUGAGUGAUGAAGGCCUUAGGGUUGUAAAGCUCUUUCAGUAGGGAAGAUAAUGACGGUACCUACAGAAGAAGCCCCGGCUAACUUCGUGCCAGCAGCCGCGGUAAUACGAAGGGGGCUAGCGUUGUUCGGAUUUACUGGGCGUAAAGCGCACGUAGGCGGAUUGGUCAGUUAGAGGUGAAAUCCUGGAGCUCAACUCCAGAACUGCCUUUAAUACUGCCAGUCUAGAGUCCAGAAGAGGUGAGUGGAACUCCUAGUGUAGAGGUGGAAUUCGUAGAUAUUAGGAAGAACACCAGUGGCGAAGGCGGCUCACUGGUCUGGUACUGACGCUGAGGUGCGAAAGCGUGGGGAGCAAACAGGAUUAGAUACCCGGGUAGUCC